Molecule: ribosomal RNA, 1444 nt
Filed under: uncultured organism
Description: SSU rRNA
Rfam family: Bacterial small subunit ribosomal RNA
Source: RNAcentral
CGCUAUCUACAGGCUUAACACAUGCAAGUCGAGGGGCAGCAUGGUCUUAGCUUGCUAAGGCCGAUGGCGACCGGCGCACGGGUGAGUAACACGUAUCCAACCUGCCGUCUACUCUUGGACAGCCUUCUGAAAGGAAGAUUAAUACAAGAUGGCAUCAUGAGUCCGCAUGUUCACAUGAUUAAAGGUAUUCCGGUAGACGAUGGGGAUGCGUUCCAUUAGAUAGUAGGCGGGGUAACGGCCCACCUAGUCUUCGAUGGAUAGGGGUUCUGAGAGGAAGGUCCCCCACAUUGGAACUGAGACACGGUCCAAACUCCUACGGGAGGCAGCAGUGAGGAAUAUUGGUCAAUGGGCGAGAGCCUGAACCAGCCAAGUAGCGUGAAGGAUGACUGCCCUAUGGGUUGUAAACUUCUUUUAUAAAGGAAUAAAGUCGGGUAUGGAUACCCGUUUGCAUGUACUUUAUGAAUAAGGAUCGGCUAACUCCGUGCCAGCAGCCGCGGUAAUACGGAGGAUCCGAGCGUUAUCCGGAUUUAUUGGGUUUAAAGGGAGCGUAGAUGGAUGUUUAAGUCAGUUGUGAAAGUUUGCGGCUCAACCGUAAAAUUGCAGUUGAUACUGGAUAUCUUGAGUGCAGUUGAGGCAGGCGGAAUUCGUGGUGUAGCGGUGAAAUGCUUAGAUAUCACGAAGAACUCCGAUUGCGAAGGCAGCCUGCUAAGCUGCAACUGACAUUGAGGCUCGAAAGUGUGGGUAUCAAACAGGAUUAGAUACCCUGGUAGUCCACACGGUAAACGAUGAAUACUCGCUGUUUGCGAUAUACUGCAAGCGGCCAAGCGAAAGCGUUAAGUAUUCCACCUGGGGAGUACGCCGGCAACGGUGAAACUCAAAGGAAUUGACGGGGGCCCGCACAAGCGGAGGAACAUGUGGUUUAAUUCGAUGAUACGCGAGGAACCUUACCCGGGCUUAAAUUGCAGAUGAAUUACGGUGAAAGCCGUAAGCCGCAAGGCAUCUGUGAAGGUGCUGCAUGGUUGUCGUCAGCUCGUGCCGUGAGGUGUCGGCUUAAGUGCCAUAACGAGCGCAACCCUUGUUGUCAGUUACUAACAGGUUCCGCUGAGGACUCUGACAAGACUGCCAUCGUAAGAUGUGAGGAAGGUGGGGAUGACGUCAAAUCAGCACGGCCCUUACGUCCGGGGCUACACACGUGUUACAAUGGGGGGUACAGAGGGCCGCUACCACGCGAGUGGAUGCCAAUCCCCAAAACCUCUCUCAGUUCGGACUGGAGUCUGCAACCCGACUCCACGAAGCUGGAUUCGCUAGUAAUCGCGCAUCAGCCACGGCGCGGUGAAUACGUCCCCGGGCCUUGUACACACCGCCCGUCAAGCCAUGGGAGCCGGGGGUACCUGAAGUGCGUAACCGCGAGGAGCGCCCUAGGGUAAAACUGGUGACUGGGGCU